Molecule: long non-coding RNA, 911 nt
Filed under: Olea europaea subsp. europaea
Lineage: Eukaryota; Viridiplantae; Streptophyta; Magnoliopsida; Lamiales; Oleaceae
Source: RNAcentral
AUCAAACAUAUGUGCACAAUAUAAGUCCUGAACAUGUACAAACUGAAAUAAAAUACUGGUCAUCAUUUCAAUUCUACAUCAACAACAAGAUUUCUACCGUCAACAAAAAUAAUCUACCAAACGAUGGCAUGCAAAAUGAAGUUAUAAAUGUUUUCCCAAACAUAUAAUACCAUGCUCCACCAACAUUGUAAACUAACUAUAUACCUUUCUUACCCUUUCUAUGACCAAAUCGAGUGAAAGGAGUCCGAGUGCUAGUACUUGGCAGCUUCACCCGGAGGGAUAGAAGCCGAGGUGGUGGUAGAGCACUGGGGGCGACCACAUGUGAGCAGUUUUUGGACAACUCAUCCACGUUGCCAGCAUCUGGUUUGGUUGCCUCAAAGUCAACAACAUCUGCUUCGGCUGUCUUAACAUUGCCAACGUCUGCUUCGACUGCCUCAACGUUGCUAGCAUGUACUUUUUGUUGCCUCAAAUAUGUUGUCCGUCAGUUGUGGUGUUAGGCAAUGACAAAUCAUCAUAGUAAACCCGUACAUGCAUAUCUCUAUCACUGUCAGCACAACCAAAUGCAAUAUACUCUUCACGCACAUAUUGUCUCCCAAACUCUAUAACCACAUCGUCAAACCUAUGUUUGAUCAGACUUAGCUGAUCAGUCACAUGCUCAUUCAUGUCGCACAAAUGAUCCCCAAUUUUCUAUUCAAUACCACUAAACCUCGUAUUCAUUUCAUCCCUCAAUUCACCCAACUUGAUCUCAAUGAACUCUCUGUUCAAUUAGAAUGUCUUUUAUCUCAUCCAUAUACUCAUAGCUCGCUGUUGGUGAUUUUCCAAGCCAGAAGUGUAUGGGAAGUCCUGGACUGGGUCACGAUGCUCUUCUUCUCCACCUUUCUCGUCACUAAAAUCCCAAAGACGAAUCUGAC